RNAcentral lists this ribosomal RNA (252 nucleotides) under uncultured prokaryote. RNAcentral's name for it is "partial 16S ribosomal RNA". It matches the Rfam family "Bacterial small subunit ribosomal RNA", at positions 525 to 775 of the family's 1533-position model. The record is from RNAcentral.
ACGGAGGAGGCGAGCGUUGUUCGGAAUCAUUGGGCGUAAAGGGCUCGUAGGCGGACCUGUGUGUCUUGCGUGAAAUCUCCACCGCUUACCGGGGAGGGUGCGUAGGAAACUGCCGGUCUUGAGUAUGAUAGAGGGUCGCGGAAUUCCGGGUGUAGCGGUGGAAUGCGUAGAUAUCCGGAGGAACACCGGUGGCGAAGGCGGCGGCCUGGAUCAAUACUGACGCUGAGGAGCGAAAGCUAGGGUAGCAAACGG